GAAAUGCGAUAAGUAAUGUGAAUUGCAGAAUUCAGUGAAUCAUCGAAUCUUUGAACGCACCUUGCGCUCCUUGGUAUUCCGAGGAGCAUGCCUGUUUGAGUGUCAUGAUAUUAUCAGUCCCUUACUUGCUUGUAUUGGCUGGCUUGGGAUUGGAUUUAUGGAGGUUUGCUGGUUUUUAUAAUCAGCUCUUCUGAAAUGUAUUAGCAAAAACCCUUUUGCUGACCCAUUAUUUUGGUGUGAUACUUAUUUUACACCAUUUGAGAAGGGCAGUAUAGAUGUUUGGCUUCUAAUGGUCUUGGGACAGCUUUUGACAUUUUGACCUCAAAUCAGGUAGGACUACCCGCUGAACUUAA
Molecule: ribosomal RNA, 353 nt
Filed under: Entoloma aff. cyanoniger 188-82
Lineage: Eukaryota; Fungi; Basidiomycota; Agaricomycetes; Agaricales; Entolomataceae
Description: eukaryotic LSU rRNA
Rfam family: 5.8S ribosomal RNA (bases 1-105)
Source: RNAcentral